UGGAAUUUUGCAUUUGUGGAUUACAAGAUUUACUAGAAAACUCUUGCGAUGGUCGUCUACCCCUAUGGCAGGCGCAUUCAUACUUUUUUCAAUUAAUUGAAGGUCUUGAAUAUCUACACAGCCGUGGCAUAGUCCAUCGAGAUAUCAAACCUGGCAAUUUACUACUAACCAAUGAUGACUUAAUUAAAAAUUACUGACUUCGGCGUUGCUGAAGAAGUCGAUUUUUUUGAUUCAGGUAUAAGACUACUCACUUCUUCCGGCUCUCCCGCUUUCCAGCCACCAGAAGUGGUAAAAAGCGACCAACGCCCAUCCAGCGUUUUUAAGACUGAUAUUUGGGCUGCUGGCGUAACACUAUACCGAGUAGUCGUAGGAAAACUUCCCUUUGAUGGUCUCGACAUAUAUGAGCUGUUUGGAAAUAUUUCUAGGGGCGAGUAUACCAUCCCUGCCUUUAUACCCGACCACCUGGCCGACCUGAUAACCGGUCUUUUAGCUUCUGAUCCUCAAAAGAGAUUAUCCAUUUCGCUUAUAAAAUCACACCCGUGGGUUAUACAAGUGCAUCCUCACGACUUCCCACCAGCAAGUUUUCCUUUUGGAAGGCCAGAAAAGAUAUAGUAAAUUUUAUUAAGAAAGAAACACUUGGAAGAGGGGAUUAUCAAUUAAUUUUUAUCAGCUAAACACAAGCAAUGU
This is a long non-coding RNA of Zophobas morio, 687 nucleotides long. RefSeq lists it as uncharacterized. The record is from RefSeq and is a predicted model, not a curated record. Lineage: Eukaryota; Metazoa; Arthropoda; Insecta; Coleoptera; Tenebrionidae. The transcript has 6 exons.